UACGUAGGGGGCUAGCGUUGUCCGGAAUCAUUGGGCGUAAAGAGCGUGUAGGCGGCCAUGUAGGUCCGGUGUGAAAACUCGAGGCUUAACCUCGAGAUGUCAUCGGAAACCAUUUGGCUAGAGUCCGGAAGAGGAGAGUGGAAUUCCUGGUGUAGCGGUGAAAUGCGCAGAUAUCAGGAAGAACACCAAUGGCGAAAGCAGCUCUCUGGGACGGUACUGACGCUGAGACGCGAAAGCGUGGGGAGCGAACAGG
This 253-nucleotide ribosomal RNA is filed under the name uncultured bacterium. RNAcentral describes it as "partial 16S ribosomal RNA". It matches the Rfam family "Bacterial small subunit ribosomal RNA", at positions 524 to 776 of the family's 1533-position model. The record is from RNAcentral.